UACAGAGGUCUCAAGCGUUGUUCGGAUUCAUUGGGCGUAAAGGGUGUGUAGGUGGCGCGCUAAGUCGGGUGUGAAAUUUCGGAGCUUAACUCCGAAACUGCAUUCGAUACUGGCGUGCUUGAGGACUGGAGAGGAGACUGGAAUUCAUGGUGUAGCAGUGAAUGCGUAGAGAUCAUGAGGAAGACCAGUGGCGAAGGCGGUCUCUGGACAGUUCCUGACACUGAGGCACGAAGGCCAGGAGCAACGGG
This 248-nucleotide ribosomal RNA is filed under the name uncultured bacterium. RNAcentral's name for it is "partial 16S ribosomal RNA". It matches the Rfam family "Bacterial small subunit ribosomal RNA", at positions 524 to 776 of the family's 1533-position model. The record is from RNAcentral.